GACGAACGCUGGCGGCAGGCCUAACACAUGCAAGUCGAGCGCCCCAGCAAUGGGGAGCGGCAGACGGGUGAGUAACGCGUGGGUAUCUACCUAGUGGUGCGGAAUAGCCCAGGGAAACUUGGAGUAAUACCGCAUAAGCCCGAAAGGGGAAAGAUUUAUCGCCAUUAGAUGAGCCCGCGUUGGAUUAGCUAGUUGGUGGGGUAACGGCCCACCAAGGCGACGAUCCAUAGCUGGUCUGAGAGGAUGAUCAGCCACACUGGGACUGAGACACGGCCCAGACUCCUACGGGAGGCAGCAGUGGGGAAUAUUGGACAAUGGGCGCAAGCCUGAUCCAGCCAUGCCGCGUGAGUGACGAAGGUCUUCGGAUUGUAAAGCUCUUUUGGCGGGGACGAUAAUGACGGUACCCGCAGAAUAAGCCCCCGGCUAACUUCGUGCCAGCAGCCGCGGUAAU
Molecule: ribosomal RNA, 451 nt
Filed under: uncultured bacterium
Lineage: Bacteria
Description: bacterial SSU rRNA
Rfam family: Bacterial small subunit ribosomal RNA
Source: RNAcentral